RNAcentral lists this ribosomal RNA (823 nucleotides) under uncultured bacterium. Its description in RNAcentral is "bacterial SSU rRNA". It matches the Rfam family "Bacterial small subunit ribosomal RNA", at positions 681 to 1503 of the family's 1533-position model. The record is from RNAcentral.
GUGAAAUGCGCAGAUAUCAGGAGGAACACCGGUGGCGAAGGCGGUGGGCUGGGCCGGAACUGACGCUGAGGAGCGAAAGCGUGGGGAGCGAACAGGAUUAGAUACCCUGGUAGUCCACGCCGUAAACGUUGGGCACUAGGUGUGGGACCUUAUCAACGGGUUCCGUGCCGUAGCUAACGCAUUAAGUGCCCCGCCUGGGGAGUACGGCCGCAAGGCUAAAACUCAAAGGAAUUGGCGGGGGCCCGCACAAGCGGCGGAGCAUGUUGCUUAAUUCGAGGCAACGCGAAGAACCUUACCUGGGUUGAACUACGCAGGAAAAGCCGCAGAGAUGCGGUGUCCGCAAGGGCCUGCGAUAGGUGGUGCAUGGCUGUCGUCAGCUCGUGUCGUGAGAUGUUGGGUUAAGUCCCGCAACGAGCGCAACCCUUGUCCUAUGUUGCCAGCGGGUAAUGCCGGGGACUCGUAGGAGACUGCCGGGGUCAACUCGGAGGAAGGUGGGGAUGACGUCAAGUCAUCAUGCCCCUUACGUCCAGGGCUGCAAACAUGCUACAAUGGCCGGUACAGAGGGCUGCUAUCCCGCGAGGGUGAGCGAAUCCCAAAAAGCCGGUCUCAGUUCGGAUUGGAGUCUGCAACUCGACUCCAUGAAGUCGGAGUCGCUAGUAAUCCCGGAUCAGCAACGCCGGGGUGAAUACGUUCCCGGGCCUUGUACACACCGCCCGUCACACCACGAAAGUCGGUAACACCCGAAGCCAGUGGCCCAACCGCAAGGAGGGAGCUGUCGAAGGUGGGAUCGGUGAUUGGGGUGAAGUCGUAACAAGGUAACCGU